GGGGGCCCGCAAGCGGUGGAGCAUGUGGUUUAAUUCGAUGCAACGCGAAGAACCUUACCUACUCCUGACAUCCAGAGAACUUAGCAGAGAUGCUUUGGUGCCUUCGGGAACUCUGAGACAGGUGCUGCAUGGCUGUCGUCAGCUCGUGUUGUGAAAUGUUGGGUUAAGUCCCGCAACGAGCGCAACCCUUAUCCUUUGUUGCCAUCGGUUCGGCCGGGAACUCAAAGGAGACUGCCAGUGAUAAACUGGAGGAAGGUGGGGAUGACGUCAAGUCAUCAUGGCCCUUACGAGUAGGGCUACACACGUGCUACAAUGGCGUAUACAAAGAGAAGCGACCUCGCGAGAGCAAGCGGACCUCAUAAAGUACGUCGUAGUCCGGAUUGAAGUCUGCAACUCGACUCCAUGAAGUCGGAAUCGCUAGUAAUCGUAGAUCAGAAUGCUACGGUGAAUACGUUCCCGGGCCUUGUACACACC
RNAcentral lists this ribosomal RNA (474 nucleotides) under uncultured bacterium. RNAcentral's name for it is "bacterial SSU rRNA". It matches the Rfam family "Bacterial small subunit ribosomal RNA", at positions 915 to 1391 of the family's 1533-position model. The record is from RNAcentral.